Molecule: long non-coding RNA, 188 nt
Organism: Amblyraja radiata (thorny skate)
Lineage: Eukaryota; Metazoa; Chordata; Chondrichthyes; Rajiformes; Rajidae
Exons: 4
Source: RefSeq, a predicted model, not a curated record
CCUGAGAUGAGCCGUGUUACUGAAUAUAUGUCUGUGAGUAGGAACACAAAGCAAGAAGAUACAGAGGAAGGUAUUCACUAUGGAUCCAUCUCCUUCCAGCCUAAAGCAACUGGUGGCAACAGCGAUAAUACACUGUCCUCCAAUCAAGCAUCAGGCACUAACCUUGUUUCUUCAAAGGAAGAUGAGUC